ACAGCAGUCGCCACGGUAAUACGAAGGGGGCUAGCGUUGCUCUGAAUUACUGGGCGUAAAGCGCACGUAGGCGGAUAUUUAAGUCAGGGGUGAAAUCCCAGAGCUCAACUCUGGAACUGCCUUUGAUACUGGGUAUCUUGAGUAUGGAAGAGGUAAGUGGAAUUCCGAGUGUAGAGGUGAAAUUCGUAGAUAUUCGGAGGAACACCAGUGGCGAAGGCGGCUUACUGGUCCAUUACUGACGCUGAGGUGCGAAAGCGUGGGGAGCAAACAGGAUUAGAGACCCCUGUAGUCCCUGUCUCUUAUAC
Molecule: ribosomal RNA, 305 nt
Filed under: uncultured bacterium
Lineage: Bacteria
Description: partial 16S ribosomal RNA
Rfam family: Bacterial small subunit ribosomal RNA
Source: RNAcentral